Long non-coding RNA from Pteropus alecto (black flying fox), 271 nucleotides. RefSeq lists it as uncharacterized. NCBI's taxonomy places the organism in Eukaryota, Metazoa, Chordata, Mammalia, Chiroptera, Pteropodidae. The record is from RefSeq and is a predicted model, not a curated record. The transcript has 3 exons.
AACAGCUCCUGUUCCCAACUGGAAACUCUUCAAGACUUCCAGUUCCAGAAUUGGAAUAUUAUAUUGCUUUAAGCUUUAUAGGGUACCUGGCAUGGUGCUGGAAAGUGAGGAGUCACUGAUAAGAAAGGUACUGAGGGCAAAGCAAUGAAAAGACAGACAAUUCCUUGACCUCAUGAAGCUUCCACUGCCCUGGGAGAAGACUCAAAAUUAGUAAAUGAAUGAAUGAAUAAAUAUAAAAUAAUUACAGAGCGAUAACUACUAUAAAAGAAUA